RNAcentral lists this transfer RNA (67 nucleotides) under Dipodomys ordii (Ord's kangaroo rat). It matches the Rfam family "tRNA". From Rfam's summary of the family: Transfer RNA (tRNA) molecules are approximately 80 nucleotides in length. Their secondary structure includes four short double-helical elements and three loops (D, anti-codon, and T loops). The record is from Rfam by way of RNAcentral. Lineage: Eukaryota; Metazoa; Chordata; Mammalia; Rodentia; Heteromyidae.
GGUAAAGUGGCUCAGUGGUAGAGUGCUUGCCUUGCAUGCAUGAGGACCUUGGUUUGAUUCUUUAGCA